GUUUAAUGUUCAUGAUUCUCUAAAGCUUGACUGAUAAGAUAGACAUUGGAACCCAAGAUCAUUAAGAGUUCAAAUGAACAGGAGUGAAUGUGGCUUCAUCUGGAAAAUGUUUGGCACCAUGAAGCAUGCUUUCAACAAAGGGGGGAAAGGAAAGCGAUGUUCAAUACUUUUAAGAAUGCUGCAGAUUUCCAUGAAAUAUCAGUCUGAUUAUACGCUUAUGCUUCAUUGGAGGAGAAGACGACUCAUGCUACCUACUUGUUGAGCUAAUUGAGAGCAGCUGUUUGCCAAGGCAGUGUAACAGCUGUAUUGUGAAUGAUGGGAGUCCCUGUGCUCCAGGGAAUACUAGUUGUUUAAGCAGCGGCAAGCUGAGGUAUGAUUGUGUAGUUAAUAGGGGUUUCUUCUCUUUCCUUGUGUUGGAUUUUAUUAGUAAACCUCAGACUAGG
RNAcentral lists this long non-coding RNA (443 nucleotides) under Anser brachyrhynchus (Pink-footed goose). Its description in RNAcentral is "lncRNA (ENSABRG00000011266.1)". Lineage: Eukaryota; Metazoa; Chordata; Aves; Anseriformes; Anatidae. The record is from RNAcentral.